AGUGAACGCUGGCGGUAGGCCUAACACAUGCAAGUCGAACGGCAGCACAGUAAGAGCUUGCUCUUACGGGUGGCGAGUGGCGGACGGGUGAGGAAUACAUCGGAAUCUACUUUUUCGUGGGGGAUAACGUAGGGAAACUUACGCUAAUACCGCAUACGACCUACGGGUGAAAGCAGGGGAUCUUCGGACCUUGCGCGAUUGAAUGAGCCGAUGUCGGAUUAGCUAGUUGGCGGGGUAAAGGCCCACCAAGGCGACGAUCCGUAGCUGGUCUGAGAGGAUGAUCAGCCACACUGGAACUGAGACGCGGUCCAGACUCCUACGGGAGGCAGCAGUGGGGAAUAUUGGACAAUGGGCGCAAGCCUGAUCCAGCCAUACCGCGUGGGUGAAGAAGGCCUUCGGGUUGUAAAGCCCUUUUGUUGGGAAAGAAAAGCAGCAGGUUAAUACCCCGCUGUUCUGACGGUACCCAAAGAAUAAGCACCGGCUAGCUUCGUG
RNAcentral lists this ribosomal RNA (492 nucleotides) under uncultured bacterium. RNAcentral's name for it is "partial 16S ribosomal RNA". It matches the Rfam family "Bacterial small subunit ribosomal RNA", at positions 29 to 507 of the family's 1533-position model. The record is from RNAcentral.